UGAACUUGAAAUCUCGUGCCUUAUUCUUUCCUGGGGACUGGUGUUGGAUAUUGAACGGGCGGAGUGACCGCCGGGAUGAUGGAUGAAGGAGAUGAUGGCCUAAACUUGGCUGCGCGCAUUCUCAUUUUCGCGUGGCCUGCCACUUGUGUUUCGCAGAUUCACGAAGGGUGUCACAGGCAUAGCUGGAGGAAGAAAGGUUUUCUGGCUGAUUCCUCCGACCCCAAUCAAUCUUCAGAUCUAUGAGCAGUGGGUGUUGUCGGGUAAACAGCAGGAUAUAUUCCUGGGUGACAUGGUCGAGAAGUGUGCCCGCGUCGAAUUGAAACCAGGCUGGACUUUUGUCAUUCCUACUGGCUGGAUUCAUGCAGUUCACACUCCUGUGGAUUCGCUAGUGUUUGGUGGAAACUUUCUGCACAGUUUCAACAUAAGCGGUCAGCUUGCCGUGGCGGACAUUGAAGAAACUACUA
Molecule: long non-coding RNA, 464 nt
Organism: Sycon ciliatum
Lineage: Eukaryota; Metazoa; Porifera; Calcarea; Leucosolenida; Sycettidae
Exons: 3
Source: RefSeq, a predicted model, not a curated record